RNAcentral lists this transfer RNA (68 nucleotides) under Aciculitermes aciculatus. Its description in RNAcentral is "tRNA-Ala". The record is from RNAcentral. Lineage: Eukaryota; Metazoa; Arthropoda; Insecta; Blattodea; Termitidae.
GGGAUUAUAGUUAAUAAUAACAUUUGAGUUGCAUUCAAAAAGUACUACCUUCAAACUAGUUAAUCUCA